GAUGAACGCUGGCGGCGUGCCUAAUACAUGCAAGUCGAGCGAACGGACGAGAAGCUUGCUCCUCUGAUGUUAGCGGCGGACGGGUGAGUAACACGUGGAUAACCUACCUAUAAGACUGGGAUAACUUCGGGAAACCGGAGCUAAUACCGGAUGAUAUUUUGAACCGCAUGGUUCAAUAGUGAAAGACGGUCUUGCUGUCACUUAUAGAUGGAUCCGCGCUGCAUUAGCUAGUUGGUAAGGUAACGGCUUACCAAGGCAACGAUGCAUAGCCGACCUGAGAGGGUGAUCGGCCACACUGGAACUGAGACACGGUCCAGACUCCUACGGGAGGCAGCAGUAGGGAAUCUUCCGCAAUGGGCGAAAGCCUGACGGAGCAACGCCGCGUGAGUGAUGAAGGUCUUCGGAUCGUAAAACUCUGUUAUUAGGGAAGAACAAAUGUGUAAGUAACUGUGCACAUCUUGACGGUACCUAAUCAGAAAGCCACGGCUAACUACGUG
This 497-nucleotide ribosomal RNA is filed under the name uncultured bacterium. RNAcentral describes it as "partial 16S ribosomal RNA". It matches the Rfam family "Bacterial small subunit ribosomal RNA", at positions 28 to 507 of the family's 1533-position model. The record is from RNAcentral.